AGAAAGAGUGUCACUUUGAAACCCUCUUUGACGUGUUUCCACAUGAAAGGCUUCGACAAACAAGAGAGAGGUGACCGUUUUGUAGCCCCACCACCUUUCCUGUGCCAAAAAUGCCAACUGUAACAACAAAGAGUGGCAGAUGCCAAGGGAAUCCCAGAUGAAUGACCUCAGUGAAGCCGGCCUACCAAAGAGAAGCAAAUAUUUACCCUGCGUGUUUGAACCCAUGGCGCGGUGCCACGGCUGCCCCUCAGAGCGCAUACCAGCCCGAUAGUCUUACUCGUCCUCCAACUUUACUCCCUAGGUACACCCUAUAUGAAGCCAGAAAAAUCUUCUUGAUUUUCAACCAUCGCAUCAUAGAGCGGAACAUGACGGAAAGGGGUCCAGCACAUCCCAGAGCUCAGCCGCCCUGAGACCGAAGUCUCCUUAUGGGACACUGACUUCAAAGUCCAUUUUGGAAGGACUGAUCUGAAGAACGCGAACCGGUCUCUGAUAACCAACAGAGCAGUCGGGAUCAGUGGAGAAGCCACCAAAUGAGAUCUCUUGGGCAUCAAACACACACAAUACAUAAAAUAUGUGCAUAUCAUAUUAAUGUGCUGUUCUAUUCUUCUGUUGAGGUGAAGCUGGUUGGAAUAUGCUGGCUGUCUUGACUGUGCAUGAUUUACUCGAUAGUAAAUAGUUUUACAUGGAAAACAUAUAUUGGCUCUAGUUUUGCUCGACUCUUUGACUCAGACUCUCCUCUCGGAAGAAUUUGCAGGUCAUACCAGGAUGCAAAACUGCACAUCUGACCCACCUGUGCACUCCAUGACUCCAUAACCCAUCAUCCUCCAUCAGAUUAGCAUGUCCACUCCAAGAAAUGAGCUCUCAAAAAUCAACAUUUAAUCCCUCAGGAGAACAACAACAACUGCAGUGUGGUACAAUAUAGAACAGAUGUGCAAGAUCUUAACCUGGGACAAGA
Molecule: long non-coding RNA, 955 nt
Organism: Sinocyclocheilus anshuiensis
Lineage: Eukaryota; Metazoa; Chordata; Actinopteri; Cypriniformes; Cyprinidae
Exons: 3
Source: RefSeq, a predicted model, not a curated record